CCUACGGGAGGCAGCAGUGGGGAAUAUUGGGCAAUGGACGCAACUCUGACCCAGCAACGCCGCGUGAAGGAAGAAGGCUUUCGGGUUGUAAACUUCUUUUAAUGGGGAAGAGCAUAAGACUGUACCCCGUAAAUAAGCCACGGCUAACUACGUGCCAGCAGCCGCGGUAAUACGUAGGGGGCAAGCGUCUUCCGGAUUUACUGGGUGUAAAGGGCGUGCAGCCGGGGAGACAAGUCAGAUGUGAAAUUCACGGGCUCAACCCGUGAACUGCAUUUGAAACUGUUUCCCUUGAGUGUCGGAGAGGUAAUCGGAAUUCCUUGUGUAGCGGUGAAAUGCGUAGAUAUAAGGAAGAACACCAGUGGCGAAGGCGGAUUACUGGACGAUAACUGACGGUGAGGCGCGAAAGCGUGGGGAGCAAACAGGAUUAGAUACCCGAGUAGUC
Molecule: ribosomal RNA, 442 nt
Filed under: uncultured bacterium
Lineage: Bacteria
Description: partial 16S ribosomal RNA
Rfam family: Bacterial small subunit ribosomal RNA
Source: RNAcentral